GAGCCUUCUUGAUAAAUACUCAUUGAUACUGCAAUCAAUAAAGGGAAGGAUUUGGAGAUCACACCUGCCAAAAAAAGGCAGAAAAUGGGGAGAAAGUUCACCUAAGUUCUCUACAAUGUAAAAGCAUAAAGUUAAUUUCUAAUCAAGUAUUUAGUUGAAUGAGGGUGAUUCAAAAAUUGCCUUGGUUAUAUUGAGCUGAAGGUUUUCUCUUUGACAGGGGACAAGUUCCUGCCCCAUCUGCAUUCUGGUGGUUCAUAUUGUUCUUACCUAAUGAGAUAUAAAAUAUCUCCUAAAUAUUGACACUUUAGAGGCAUGCUUCACUCAGCAUGAAGGUUUGAGACAUCAAGGAUACCUUGGGCAUCCUCAGAUUCCUACAACUUGUCAGACAAAUUAGCACCUUUUCAACCAAGGGUAAAAUUGAGUUUCACAUUUCUUCCUGGUGGGGGGAAAGAAUGAAGGAGAAAAUCACUCUGGUUUAAUACUCCCUUUGUUAAGACAAAUACAGAGAGCCUUAUCAUCUCUGUACAGCUCUCCCUGACCUCCUGAUUUUUAAUUCAUUGGUUUUAAAUGAUCCUUGACAGUUAAGAUCCUUUUGUCAGUGCCUCUGUGCUUACUGCAGAAGACAGACACUGUGGCUUUUAUUAGUCAAGCUAUUUCUCUUUUUAUGAAAUUUAACAAAUUAGUCUUAAAGAAAAAUUAACAUUUUGUUAAUAGAUGCUGACAAAUAGAUUUUUAAAUUUUUUAAAAUUGUAUAGGCAUUUAAAAAAUUUACUUGAGUCCAGUUUAUGAGCUGAGUUAACCACUUUAAGAAGUGAGAGGAUGACACUAACAGCUUUAAAAUUCCUCUGGGGAAGCUUCAGAAAAAUGCUAUCCUGUAAUUCUGAAUAAAAUGUACCAUGUUCGUUCUUCCUUUCUUUUUCCUACAAAUAACUUUUAAUUUCAUAAAGUGGAAAGAAAUACAUGAAAAAUGCCUUG
Molecule: long non-coding RNA, 975 nt
Filed under: Homo sapiens (human)
Lineage: Eukaryota; Metazoa; Chordata; Mammalia; Primates; Hominidae
Description: HSALNT0019762
Source: RNAcentral